RNAcentral lists this long non-coding RNA (239 nucleotides) under Capsicum annuum. RNAcentral's name for it is "long non-coding RNA (CANN_LNC015752)". Lineage: Eukaryota; Viridiplantae; Streptophyta; Magnoliopsida; Solanales; Solanaceae. The record is from RNAcentral.
UUAGCUUUCUGUCGGGUGUGCUGAGGAUAGCUUGGAAGGGUGUGCUUCAUUCGGGUCCUAUAUUUAUGAUACUAGUAUUGAGUCGCCCCUCUUUUGGAAUUUGUUUAAAUUGUCCAUGAGUUCAUGAAUGUUUUCUUUAUGGACUUGCCCGAUAUGCCUUCGGAUAGUGAUAUUAACUUUGCCAUUAAUGUUAAGUUGGGCACCAAGCCCAUCUCUAUUUCUCUUUAUAGAUGGCCCCA